Non-coding RNA from Biomphalaria pfeifferi, 219 nucleotides. NCBI's taxonomy places the organism in Eukaryota, Metazoa, Mollusca, Gastropoda, Planorbidae. The record is from the annotation of a GenBank genome assembly.
UUUUUUUUUAAAAUGUUGAAAUUUUUCUGUUUUCAUAAACCUUUUAGCUAUUUUCCCACUGUUUGGCAGUGCUGUGAUGUUGAGUUAGGCAUGUACAUUUGGAUUUCUUGUAUGGUUGUCGAUAAUAAAUUUACAUUGUUACCGGUAUUGAAAGUUUAUUUUUUGUUCUUCCCAUUAUUUAUUUUUCUGUACUGGUCAACAUUUUUUUUUUUGAAAUAG